RNAcentral lists this ribosomal RNA (627 nucleotides) under uncultured Russulaceae. RNAcentral describes it as "LSU rRNA". It matches the Rfam family "Eukaryotic large subunit ribosomal RNA", at positions 47 to 649 of the family's 3401-position model. Lineage: Eukaryota; Fungi; Basidiomycota; Agaricomycetes; Russulales; Russulaceae. The record is from RNAcentral.
UAAGCGGAGGAAAAGAAACUACAAGGAUUCCCCUAGUAACUGCGAGUGAAGCGGGAAAAGCUCAAAUUUAAAAUCUGGUGGUCUUUGGCCAUCCGAGUUGUAAUCUAGAGAAGCGUCUUCCGCGCUGGACCGUGCACAAGUCUCCUGGAACGGAGCGUCGUAGAGGGUGAGAAUCCCGUCUUUGGCAUGGACACACCAGGGCUUUUGUGAUGCGCUCUCGAAGAGUCGAGUUGUUUGGGAAUGCAGCUCAAAAUGGGUGGUGAACUCCAUCUAAAGCUAAAUAUUGGCGAGAGACCGAUAGCGAACAAGUACCGUGAGGGAAAGAUGAAAAGCACUUUGGAAAGAGAGUGAAACAGUACGUGAAAUUGUUGAAAGGGAAACGCUUGAAGUCAGUCGCGUCGACCGAGACUCAGCCUCGCCUCGGCUUGGUGUACUUCUCGGCCCGACGGGUCAGCAUCAAUUUCGCCUCUUGGAUAAUGGCGAGGGAAACGUGACACCUUUACGGUGUGUUAUAGUCUCUCGUCGCAUGCAAGGGUCGGGAUUGAGGAACUCAGCACGCGCCUUUGGGCGUCGGGGCUUUGCCUACGAUACGUGCUUAGGAUGUUGGCGUAAUGGCUUUAAACGACC